Molecule: ribosomal RNA, 301 nt
Filed under: uncultured bacterium
Lineage: Bacteria
Description: partial 16S ribosomal RNA
Rfam family: Bacterial small subunit ribosomal RNA
Source: RNAcentral
CAGCCGCCACGGGAAUACAGAGGGUGCGAGCGUUAAUCGGAUUUACUGGGCGUAAAGCGUGCGUAGGCGGCUUCUUAAGUCGGAUUUGAAAUCCCUGAGCUUAACUUAGGAAUUGCAUUCGAUACUGGGAAGCUAGAGUAUGGGAGAGGAUGGUAGAAUUCCAGGUGUAGCGGUGAAAUGCGUAGAGAUCUGGAGGAAUACCGAUGGCGAAGGCAGCCAUCUGGCCUAAUACUGACGCUGAGGUACGAAAGCAUGGGGAGCAAACAGGAUUAGAUACCCCAGUAGUCCCUGUCUCUUAUAC